AACGAACGCUGGCGGCAUGCCUAACACAUGCAAGUCGAACGAAACGUCCCGGCCUAGGUGCGCACGGGUGCUUAAGGAGUGGGAAGCAGCCCGUAGGUUCGGAAUAACUCACCGUGGGGUGUGUUAAGACAGGUGAAUGUCUUCGCACCAAAGAGUUAUCGCCUUUGGAUGGGCGCGGGUUGGAUUAGCCAGUUGGUAGGGUAAAAGCCUAGCAAGGGGAGGAUGGUGAGCUGGUCUGAGAGGAUGAUCCGCCAGACUGGGACUGAGACACGGCCCAGACUGGUACGGGAGGGAGCAGUGGGGAACAUUGGAGAAGGGGCGAAGGCCUGAUCCAGCAACGCCGCGUGAGAGAUGAAGGCGUUAGGGUUGUAAAGCUCUUUUACACGGGAUGAUAAUGACAGUAACGGGAGAAUAAGCACCGGCUAACUCCGUG
This 433-nucleotide ribosomal RNA is filed under the name uncultured bacterium. Its description in RNAcentral is "partial 16S ribosomal RNA". It matches the Rfam family "Bacterial small subunit ribosomal RNA", at positions 29 to 507 of the family's 1533-position model. The record is from RNAcentral.